This 253-nucleotide ribosomal RNA is filed under the name uncultured bacterium. RNAcentral's name for it is "partial 16S ribosomal RNA". It matches the Rfam family "Bacterial small subunit ribosomal RNA", at positions 524 to 776 of the family's 1533-position model. The record is from RNAcentral.
GACGUAGGGCGCGAGCGUUGUCCGGAUUUAUUGGGCGUAAAGAGCUCGUAGGCGGUCUGUCGCGUCUGCUGUGAAAACUCGGGGCUUAACCCCGGGCCUGCAGUGGGUACGGGCAGACUAGAGUGCGGUAGGGGAGACUGGAAUUCCUGGUGUAGCGGUGAAAUGCGCAGAUAUCAGGAGGAACACCGGUGGCGAAGGCGGGUCUCUGGGACGGUACUGACGCUGAGACGCGAAAGCGUGGGGAGCAAACAGG